RNAcentral lists this ribosomal RNA (292 nucleotides) under uncultured bacterium. RNAcentral describes it as "partial 16S ribosomal RNA". It matches the Rfam family "Bacterial small subunit ribosomal RNA", at positions 505 to 796 of the family's 1533-position model. The record is from RNAcentral.
GUGCCAGCCGCCGCGGUAAUACGUAGGGACCGAGCGUUGUCCGGAAUCAUUGGGCGUAAAGAGCGUGUAGGCGGCCUGCUAAGUCCUGCGUGAAAUCUCGGGGCUCAACCCCGAGCGGUCGUGGGAAACUGGCAGGCUAGAGUGCGGGAGAGGAGAGUGGAACUCCAGGUGUAGCGGUGAAAUGCGCAGAUAUCUGGAGGAACACCCGUGGCGAAGGCGGCUCUCUGGAACGCAACUGACGCUGAGACGCGAAAGCGUGGGGAGCAAACAGGAUUAGAAACCCCAGUAGUCC